Molecule: ribosomal RNA, 442 nt
Filed under: uncultured bacterium
Lineage: Bacteria
Description: partial 16S ribosomal RNA
Rfam family: Bacterial small subunit ribosomal RNA
Source: RNAcentral
CUACGGGUUGCUCCAGUGGGGAAUUUUCCGCAAUGGGCGAAAGCCUGACGGAGCAACGCCGCGUGGGUGAUGAAGUCCUUCGGGACGUAAAGCCCUUUCGCAGGGGAAGAAACAAAUGACGGUACCCUGAGAAGAAGCAUCGGCUAACUACGUGCCAGCAGCCGCGGUAAGACGUAGGAUGCGAGCGUUGUCCGGAAUUACUGGGCGUAAAGCGAGCGUAGGCGGCUCGGUAAGUUCGGGGUUAAAGACGGCAGCUCAACUGCCGGAGUGCCUCGAAGACUGCCGGGCUGGAGGAUGGUAGAGGAAAGUGGAAUUCCCAGUGUAGCGGUGAAAUGCGUAGAUAUUGGGAGGAACACCAGUGGCGAAAGCGGCUUUCUGGACCAUUUCUGACGCUGAGGCUCGAAAGCCAGGGGAGCAAACGGGAUUAGAUACCCUGGUAGUC